AUAUUUUGUGAGGAAAAACAUACAAGAAAAUUGAUCCAGUAAAAUUGAUAGUAAUCCCAUAAGUGGAAAAAUGUAUAUUUAAUGAAAUAGACAGUGUCUAAGAAUUUCGAAGGAAAAGAUUAGAAUUGAGCAGAAACUCUGAAUUAUGAAUGAAUCCAUGAGUCAAGAGAAAUAGAAAAAUAAUUUGGCAGUGCUCACAUUCAAGACUCCAUAGAUCUUUAAAAUAGUGAAGAAAGGUACCUAUAAAGAAACAUAAAAGGGACUUCAAAAUCAUACUAAUAUUCUAAGCCAAUGAUUUCAUUCAAGUGAUAAAUUCCUGGGAAAGACGCUUCCUCCAUCCAUCUCUCCCUAGCAGCACCUGCUCUAACCAUACAGACUUGGACACUGAGAGCCAAUGAGCGUCAGAGGUGGGAUUUGAAGCUGGAUCUUCUGACUUGAAGCCAGUUUUCUCUUAUCUGCUGCAGCUUAGAAGCAAAAGGCCUCAUAACAGAUGGGACAAAUCCUGGAGGAACAGAGCGAAUCCCAUGUAAGAGCACAAGUCUUCUGACUGGUACACCUCACUGUGAGGGAAUGGGAUAAGCCGCCUCCGCUCCUCCCCGUGAAGGUAUCCUGGAGAGAUGGGAUUAGUGCAGGUGAAUGAGACAGAUCAGAAAAGGCCAUGGCCUUGGGAGAUCUCCAAAUAUCCAGGAAGUGGCAGCCUCCGGAGCCAGGAUGGAGUGAUCUGUUGGAACCAUCAUGGCUCUAAGUCAGAUUUGGCAGUAAAGAUGGCGGUGAUUCCUGGAGCCCCUUCCUCUAGCUGCUCUGAUGCCCUUGGUAGUGAAUUGAUGGGAUGAAUCCUUGUAAUUCUUACUUUAAGGCUUGGGUAGCAAAGAGGACAGUGUGCCCCUGGUUCAGGGCAAUGUGUUUGUCAUUCUUCUCCUGUGGGAUCUUGUCAGGAAAUAUUUUUUUGUAAAACCAACGACCCUCUCCAAAUAAGCCAAACAACCUCAGAACUAAUUGCCCUCAAUCAGUUAAAUAGAAUUAGAUCACUUGUCACUGAAAUACCCAAUUAUAUAUGUAGGAGAAGUGUUCAGUGUAAUUAAAGAUUGAUAUUAGGGAGAAUACACUGUAAUGGUGAUAGGGCUGACGAUUUUAGAGAGAGCAAAUAGAAUGACAGCCUUAAAGCCCUGGGUCAAAUUUUGCUUCUGUCACACAUUGGUUGUAUGACCCUGGGCAAGUCAUGGGUUGUAGAGAAGAUGCCAACCUGUACAGAUCGUUUCAUUAUCAAUGAACAUCUCCAUACUCUCUGCCUCCCUCCAUAUCCUUGGUAUGCUUUGAAGAAGAAGAAACUAAUUUUUACAUAAGCAAAAGAAAGCAGAAUUAUUUAGCUUAAUCUCCUGAAAGAAAGAAAAAAUAUGCACAGGUACAGUAUUACUACUUAAAAUCUAUUUCAUUGUAUAUAGCGAAACAGAAUUCUUUUCUAUGACCAUGGAUGAUUGAGGAAUAGAUUAAAUAAAUGUUGAACUGUCUCUUCUGAGAUGAGCUCU
Molecule: long non-coding RNA, 1526 nt
Filed under: Monodelphis domestica (gray short-tailed opossum)
Lineage: Eukaryota; Metazoa; Chordata; Mammalia; Didelphimorphia; Didelphidae
Description: lncRNA (ENSMODG00000045621.1)
Source: RNAcentral